Molecule: ribosomal RNA, 924 nt
Filed under: Staphylococcus aureus VET0159R
Lineage: Bacteria; Bacillati; Bacillota; Bacilli; Caryophanales; Staphylococcaceae
Also listed under: 1 other name
Description: bacterial SSU rRNA
Rfam family: Bacterial small subunit ribosomal RNA
Source: RNAcentral
AGAGUUUGAUCCUGGCUCAGGAUGAACGCUGGCGGCGUGCCUAAUACAUGCAAGUCGAGCGAACGGACGAGAAGCUUGCUUCUCUGAUGUUAGCGGCGGACGGGUGAGUAACACGUGGAUAACCUACCUAUAAGACUGGGAUAACUUCGGGAAACCGGAGCUAAUACCGGAUAAUAUUUUGAACCGCAUGGUUCAAAAGUGAAAGACGGUCUUGCUGUCACUUAUAGAUGGAUCCGCGCUGCAUUAGCUAGUUGGUAAGGUAACGGCUUACCAAGGCAACGAUGCAUAGCCGACCUGAGAGGGUGAUCGGCCACACUGGAACUGAGACACGGUCCAGACUCCUACGGGAGGCAGCAGUAGGGAAUCUUCCGCAAUGGGCGAAAGCCUGACGGAGCAACGCCGCGUGAGUGAUGAAGGUCUUCGGAUCGUAAAACUCUGUUAUUAGGGAAGAACAUAUGUGUAAGUAACUGUGCACAUCUUGACGGUACCUAAUCAGAAAGCCACGGCUAACUACGUGCCAGCAGCCGCGGUAAUACGUAGGUGGCAAGCGUUAUCCGGAAUUAUUGGGCGUAAAGCGCGCGUAGGCGGUUUUUUAAGUCUGAUGUGAAAGCCCACGGCUCAACCGUGGAGGGUCAUUGGAAACUGGAAAACUUGAGUGCAGAAGAGGAAAGUGGAAUUCCAUGUGUAGCGGUGAAAUGCGCAGAGAUAUGGAGGAACACCAGUGGCGAAGGCGACUUUCUGGUCUGUAACUGACGCUGAUGUGCGAAAGCGUGGGGAUCAAACAGGAUUAGAUACCCUGGUAGUCCACGCCGUAAACGAUGAGUGCUAAGUGUUAGGGGGUUUCCGCCCCUUAGUGCUGCAGCUAACGCAUUAAGCACUCCGCCUGGGGAGUACGACCGCAAGGUUGAAACUCAAAGGAAUUGA